GGAAUUCAGAGUUGGAUCAUGGUUCAGAACGAACGCUGGCGGCAAGCUUAACACAUGCAAGUCGAACGGACCGUACGCGCAGCUUGCUGCGUGUAUGGUUAGUGGCAGACGGGUGAGUAAUGCAUAGGAAUCUGCCUAGUAGUAUAGGAUAGCCACUAGAAAUGGUGGGUAAUACUGUAUAAUCCCUGCGGGGGAAAGAUUUAUCGCUACUAGAUGAGCCUAUGUCAGAUUAGCUAGUUGGUGGGGUAAUGGCCCACCAAGGCUGUGAUCUGUAGCUGGUCUGAGAGGAUGAUCAGCCACACUGGAACUGAGACACGGUCCAGACUCCUACGGGAGGCAGCAGUGGGGAAUAUUGGACAAUGGGCGCAAGCCUGAUCCAGCUAUGCCGCGUGAGUGAGGAAGGCCUUAGGGUUGUAAAACUCUUUCAGUAGGGAAGAUAAUGACGGUACCUACAGAAGAAGUCCCGGCAAACUCGGGAUCCCGACCCAUGAUGGAAUCCAGAGUUGGAUCCUGGG
RNAcentral lists this ribosomal RNA (515 nucleotides) under uncultured Anaplasma sp. RNAcentral's name for it is "bacterial SSU rRNA". It matches the Rfam family "Bacterial small subunit ribosomal RNA", at positions 1 to 530 of the family's 1533-position model. Lineage: Bacteria; Pseudomonadati; Pseudomonadota; Alphaproteobacteria; Rickettsiales; Anaplasmataceae. The record is from RNAcentral.